This 429-nucleotide ribosomal RNA is filed under the name Bacteroidota bacterium. Its description in RNAcentral is "Bacteroidetes bacterium partial 16S ribosomal RNA". It matches the Rfam family "Bacterial small subunit ribosomal RNA", at positions 355 to 776 of the family's 1533-position model. Lineage: Bacteria; Pseudomonadati; Bacteroidota. The record is from RNAcentral.
UAGGGAAUCUUCCGCAAUGGACGCAAGUCUGACGGAGCAACGCCGCGUGAGUGAAGAAGGAUUUCGGUUCGUAAAACUCUGUUGUUAGAGAAGAACAGCGCAUAGAGUAACUGUUAUGCGUGUGACGGUAUCUAACCAGAAAGCCACGGCUAACUACGUGCCAGCAGCCGCGGUAAUACGUAGGUGGCAAGCGUUGUCCGGAUUUAUUGGGCGUAAAGCGAGCGCAGGCGGUCAAUUAAGUCUGAUGUGAAAGCCCCCGGCUCAACCGGGGAGGGUCCUUGGAAACUGGUUGACUUGCGUGCAGAAGAGGACCGUGGAAUUCCAUGUGUAGCCGUGAAAUGCGUAGAUCUAUGGAGGAACACCAGUGGCGAAGGCGACUCUCUGGUCUGUAACUGACGCUGAACUUCGAACGAGUGAGUAGCAAGCUGU